UGGGGAAUUUUGGACAAUGGGGGAAACCCUGAUCCAGCCAUCCCGCGUGUGCGAUGAAGGCCUUCGGGUUGUAAAGCACUUUUGGCAGGAAAGAAACGUCAUGGGUUAAUACCCCGUGAAACUGACGGUACCUGCAGAAUAAGCACCGGCUAACUACGUGCCAGCAGCCGCGGUAAUACGUAGGGUGCAAGCGUUAAUCGGAAUUACUGGGCGUAAAGCGUGCGCAGGCGGUUCGGAAAGAAAGAUGUGAAAUCCCAGAGCUCAACUUUGGAACUGCAUUUUUAACUACCGGGCUAGAGUGUGUCAGAGGGAGGUGGAAUUCCGCGUGUAGCAGUGAAAUGCGUAGAUAUGCGGAGGAACACCGAUGGCGAAGGCAGCCUCCUGGGAUAACACUGACGCUCAUGCACGAAAACGUGGGGAGCAAACAGG
This 429-nucleotide ribosomal RNA is filed under the name Acidobacteriota bacterium. Its description in RNAcentral is "Acidobacteria bacterium partial 16S ribosomal RNA". It matches the Rfam family "Bacterial small subunit ribosomal RNA", at positions 355 to 776 of the family's 1533-position model. The record is from RNAcentral. Lineage: Bacteria; Pseudomonadati; Acidobacteriota.